Molecule: ribosomal RNA, 253 nt
Filed under: uncultured bacterium
Lineage: Bacteria
Description: partial 16S ribosomal RNA
Rfam family: Bacterial small subunit ribosomal RNA
Source: RNAcentral
UACGGGGGGGGCAAGCGUUGUUCGGAAUUACUGGGCGUAAAGGGCGCGUAGGCGGCCUUCUAAGUCGGACGUGAAAUCCCUCGGCUUAACCGAGGAACUGCGUCCGAUACUGAAAGGCUUGAAUCCGGGAGAGGGAUGUGGAAUUCCAGGUGUAGCGGUGAAAUGCGUAGAGAUCGGGAGGAACACCCGCGGCGAAGGCGGCCACCUGGACCAGACCUGACGCUGAGGCGGCGAAGGCCGGGGGAGCGAACGG